Long non-coding RNA from Venturia canescens, 384 nucleotides. RefSeq lists it as uncharacterized. Lineage: Eukaryota; Metazoa; Arthropoda; Insecta; Hymenoptera; Ichneumonidae. The record is from RefSeq and is a predicted model, not a curated record. The transcript has 3 exons.
ACCAUAGCGUCUUGAGCAGCUAAAAUCUAAAAGAGAAAAAUCUAUAAGACGCCUUCGAUGAAAUAGUAUCGGUGAAGAUUCAUAAUGGAUUUUGAAUCGUCGGGGCAUAUUCCGGACUGUGAUAACUCAAGAAAAAAAAAGAACAUUGGGCACUCUUUCACAAUUAUCGGACAAACUUUUGGAGCCAGUAGCACCAUUGUCAGACGGAGAUUGGGAGCCUUCGAGGAAUUCGAUGGAAAUUGUAUCGUCGUUGAAAGUGGCAUUGUGAAUAAUUGGUGGAGCGUUGUCGACUCUCGGUGACAUUGGUGUCGAUGAAAAAACCAUUUGGUGGUCCGUCCUUGUAAUGUUUGUAAUUCAUCGCGAGAUUCUGAGCGAAAUUUCCAC